Oreochromis niloticus (Nile tilapia) is the source of this 2224-nucleotide long non-coding RNA. Lineage: Eukaryota; Metazoa; Chordata; Actinopteri; Cichliformes; Cichlidae. The record is from Ensembl.
GUGAAAACAACUCCAACAACUUUGUAAAAGUUUUCAUCAAUGUUCACAAAUCAGCCGUUUCAGAAAUAAUUGUUCAUGAAAAUGUUCAUUAAAAUCAGAGGUGACGUUUGGACAGUAGCCAAGCAGGGCAAUGUUUGUCCAUCAGUUUCUAUUUAUGGCCAAAUAUUAUGUUGCUAGGUAACAGCCAGCUCUAUCAGAGUUAUCAAAUUAGCAUUAGCAGCUCAGUGAGCGGCAGAAACGUAUAUGUCUGAUGUCAUCUGUUCCCUUCUGCAGCCUCAAAGAGAAACACAAAGAAAUGUUCCAGCGGAAGAUGCAGAAGCUACUGUUGGAACUGACUAACAUCAGUGACACAAAAACCACACAAACGCCAGUAAAUGGUGUUUAUUUGUCUGGCCAUUGUAAUUUACUGUGACUAAAUGGAUGCUGAAAUAUUGACAAAUCCUUUCCAAGGAUCCAUAAAACGAGCUAUCUCACAAAGGAGUGCUCUAGACACAAACUAUAAAAAGUCUUGGUCUGGCAGGUUGCCUGAAGGGCAAGUGAAAACAAAGGCCACCUACGCACAGACUAUCAGUGACAAGAGAAAGACGGCCAGACAGGCAAUCCCACCAGGAACACUUUCACCUGAGCCGCAGACAAAAGCAGUUGCUGGGAGAAAAGCGCUGCGGGUCAGACAUCACAGUAACCCGCCUCCUUCUGCUUCUGGUCUUCUCUGGUACAAAUGCACAGUUGUCCAGUCAGCCAGCUGGUCAUGACUGUCAGCAGGACCUCGGCUCGGGCUGCGGAUGGAGGCCAGAUGGUGAGGCUCUCACACACACACACACACACACAGAUGCGUGAGUAGUACAUCCUCCUCUGAAUAACGAAGGACUCGUAGCUACCUCAGUCGACCUCGCUACAUGCUGCUUUUAUUUCAAAGGCAGAGCGAGAGCUCAGAGGGAGAAAUAUGAACUGUGCUUCAGAAGCGAGGUCAGCGAACUGCAGAACUCUGUUAAAAAUUACAGACAAAUCAAAACAAUGGUAAUACACUCAUGAGUCAGUCACCGAGUUUCUUAUUGGCUGCAGUAGUAAUACAACAUGGCAUGUUUGGACAAUGCAGGGUGGUUCAAGACCAUUAAAACUGUUAAACAUUUUUUCCCCCUGGUUUAAGAAUUUUUCAUGGAGGCGAAAAAAGGUGUGAAGACGUGCAUGUGAAUGUGUGUAAAGCCCACAUAAAUUGUCACUUUAAGCUUUUGCUGUACUCAAAUAAAAUUGUCUUUGUCCCGUACCCCUGCUUUGUUGUGUGUGUGAUCAACUAAACAUUGAUUUUUAUAUAGAAAACUUUCUAUCCUUCAAAAAUAUAAUCAAAAAUAUUCGUAAAUCCAGGGUUUCGACUUCUAAAUUCUUUUAGUAAGACUGUUUCUGUAGAAAAGAAAAUCUUUCAGAUUAGAUUAAAAAUAUUUUACGGAAUAAACUAAUAGUUUACAUACCUGUGAAUGCCACACUAUUAAAAUAAAAGCAUGCAGUACGAAGUGGAUAUGUCUCUCAUCAGUUUGUAGUAAAAAUACAAGUUUUGUUUUGUUAAAUAGUUUUGAGGGCUGAAUUUGUGGACCUAGAAUAUAUGCUGUAAGCAAAAAACAACUUACAUCAUGACUCAUUUAGCCGUUUUCAGGCUUUAGCUUCAAAGGGUUAAAGACAUUUGCGUAAAAAAGAAAAAAAAGAUGAAGAGCAACACAACAAACAAUAAGCAGACGUUUUAAUCAGAACGGACAUCUGUUAUUCCCAACAAGCCGUGAGUCAUGUUUGCCUGAACUCUGCUAUUAUCAACUCAUAUUUACUGUCAUUACUCACGUUAAUGAAAGGUUUGGGCGGGCCCUUUUCACUGCAGUGUUUGACCAGCUGAACUGUGCAGUUUGUUCUACGACAAGAACCGUAACCUCAGAGAGGCGACGCGGGCAGAAGUGAGAAACAAAGCCAACUGAUUUGUGGUGCAGGAUGAUUACUUCAUGAUUACUUGAUUAACUUGGUUUUUAUUUGUUUUUUUUCUCACAGGAAAUUCAUAGAAAAAUGUCUUUUGUAGCAGGUGUCACUUCCUGUAUGCAUUCAACAUACCAAUUUUUUUCUGUUUUGAAGUAAAAUUUUCUUCAAUCUCAUUUAUUUAUUUUGAUUUAUUUGUGUUUUACAUGUAUGGUGACCCCAAAAAAAUCACUUAUAUUUAUCAUUUUUUCCUAUUUAUCAACAACUCCAU